GUACCAAGGCGAUGAUGCAUAGCCCGAGUUGAGAGACUGAUCGGCACAUUGGGGACUGAGACACGGGCCCAAACUCCUACGGGAGGCAGCAGUAGGGAAUCUUCCACAAUGGACGCAAAGUCUGAUGGAGCAAACGCCGCGUGAGUGAAGAAGGGUUUCGGCUCGUAAAAAGCUCUGUUGUUGGUGAAGAAGGACAGGGGUAGUAACGUGACCCUUUGUUUGUACGGUAAUCAAUUAGAAAGUCACGGGCUAACUACGUGCCAGCAGCCGCGGUAAAU
This 278-nucleotide ribosomal RNA is filed under the name uncultured Bacilli bacterium. RNAcentral describes it as "partial 16S ribosomal RNA". It matches the Rfam family "Bacterial small subunit ribosomal RNA", at positions 265 to 525 of the family's 1533-position model. The record is from RNAcentral. Lineage: Bacteria; Bacillati; Bacillota; Bacilli.